ACGAACGCUGGCGGCGUGCUUAACACAUGCAAGUCGAACGGAAAGGCCCUGCUUUUGUGGGGUGCUCGAGUGGCGAACGGGUGAGUAACACGUGAGUAACCUGCCCUUGACUUUGGGAUAACUUCAGGAAACUGGGGCUAAUACCGGAUAGGAGCUCCUGCUGCAUGGUGGGGGUUGGAAAGUUUCGGCGGUUGGGGAUGGACUCGCGGCUUAUCAGCUUGUUGGUGGGGUAGUGGCUUACCAAGGCUUUGACGGGUAGCCGGCCUGAGAGGGUGACCGGCCACAUUGGGACUGAGAUACGGCCCAGACUCCUACGGGAGGCAGCAGUGGGGAAUAUUGCACAAUGGGCGGAAGCCUGAUGCAGCAACGCCGCGUGCGGGAUGACGGCCUUCGGGUUGUAAACCGCUUUCGCCUGUGACGAAGCGUGAGUGACGGUAAUGGGUAAAGAAGCACCGGCUAACUACGUGCCAGCAGCCGCGGUGAUACGUAGGGUGCGAGCGUUGUCCGGAUUUAUUGGGCGUAAAGGGCUCGUAGGUGGUUGAUCGCGUCGGAAGUGUAAUCUUGGGGCUUAACCCUGAGCGUGCUUUCGAUACGGGUUGACUUGAGGAAGGUAGGGGAGAAUGGAAUUCCUGGUGGAGCGGUGGAAUGCGCAGAUAUCAGGAGGAACACCAGUGGCGAAGGCGGUUCUCUGGGCCUUUCCUGACGCUGAGGAGCGAAAGCGUGGGGAGCGAACAGGCUUAGAUACCCUGGUAGUCCACGCUGUAAACGGUGGGUACUAGGUGUGGGGUCCAUUCCACGGGUUCCGUGCCGUAGCUAACGCUUUAAGUACCCCGCCUGGGGAGUACGGCCGCAAGGCUAAAACUCAAAGGAAUUGACGGGACCCCGCACAAGCGGCGGAGCAUGCGGAUUAAUUCGAUGCAACGCGUAGAACCUUACCUGGGUUUGACAUGGAUCGGGAGUGCUCAGAGAUGGGUGUGCCUCUUUUGGGGUCGGUUCACAGGUGGUGCAUGGCUGUCGUCAGCUCGUGUCGUGAGAUGUUGGGUUAAGUCCCGCAACGAGCGCAACCCUUAUUCUAUGUUGCCAGCGGAUAAUGCCGGGGACUCGUAGAAGACUGCCGGGGUCAACUCGGAGGAAGGUGGGGACGACGUCAAGUCAUCAUGCCCCUUAUAUCCAGGGCUGCAAACAUGCUACAAUGGCCAGUACAGAGGGCUGCAAAACCGCGAGGUUGAGCGAAUCCCACAAAGCUGGUCUCAGUUCGGAUUGGAGUCUGCAACUCGACUCCAUGAAGGCGGAGUCGCUAGUAAUCCCGGAUCAGCAACGCCGGGGUGAAUACGUUCCCGGGCCUUGUACUCACCGC
Molecule: ribosomal RNA, 1357 nt
Filed under: uncultured Actinomycetes bacterium
Lineage: Bacteria; Bacillati; Actinomycetota; Actinomycetes
Description: bacterial SSU rRNA
Rfam family: Bacterial small subunit ribosomal RNA
Source: RNAcentral